ACUAGUAUGUCUGAAGUUGUAGGUAGUAAACUGUAAAUUUACUUAUGAAUUAAUAUUCUUCUAGUA
RNAcentral lists this transfer RNA (66 nucleotides) under Koreocerus koreanus. Its description in RNAcentral is "tRNA-Tyr". The record is from RNAcentral. Lineage: Eukaryota; Metazoa; Arthropoda; Insecta; Hemiptera; Cicadellidae.